RNAcentral lists this ribosomal RNA (119 nucleotides) under Lepisosteus oculatus (spotted gar). Lineage: Eukaryota; Metazoa; Chordata; Actinopteri; Semionotiformes; Lepisosteidae. The record is from RNAcentral.
UACAGCAGCCAUAUCACCCUGCAACUCAUAGCUAGCGACCCACUGAACCUACGCAGGUGUGAGCCUGGUCUGUACCUGGAUGGGAGACCUCCUGGGGAAAAACAAAGGUGCUGCUGGAA